RNA transcript from Orcinus orca (killer whale), 804 nucleotides. It is a transcript of the gene named cornichon family AMPA receptor auxiliary protein 4, with no coding region annotated. The transcript is spliced from 3 exons. NCBI's taxonomy places the organism in Eukaryota, Metazoa, Chordata, Mammalia, Artiodactyla, Delphinidae. The record is from RefSeq and is a predicted model, not a curated record.
UUGCCUGAGGCGGGCGGAGGCCGACCUGGGGCCCUCCACCCGAGGGAGUAGGCUGGGGGUGGGCCUGGGUGGGGGCCAGGGCAGGUGCGAGGGAGCAAGGCAGGCGGCCGGCGGCCGGCGCGGGUACCCUGGGCGCUGGCCCGGCCCGCCAGACCGAUGUGGCGAGCCCGGGCGGGAGGAGGACCCCGGCUGCCCAACUUCGCCCCUCACUCGGGGGUCCGAGCGGGCCUUUCUCUUGAAGCGCCCCGGCCCGGCCUGCCCGCCACAGCUCGCCCCUGUGACGCCCGGACCCGCUCUGCCCUGCGCGGGGGCUGGCACUUGGCCUCCCCUUGUGGUCCUCAGGAGAGAGGGGUCGCGGUUUUCCUCCUUUUGGGUCCUGCAGAGAUCAGGGUUGUGGUUUUUCUUGCAGCUCCCUUUGGCCGGGCCCUUCGCCGGAUGCUGGGGGUCCCGAGAACGACGGCUCACGUCCCAGGGGUGGUCGCUAGUGGACUGUCCCGCGCUGAGCUCGGCGGAGGCAAUUUGGCGCCUCUUGUCAUUCUCUGGGCAACACCCCCGCUGCCCUCCCCUUUGUUCUCGCGGGUGUUGGAACUUGUAGCGACCUUUCACAUCCAGGAGUUGAUUCAUUUCAAAAACGGUAUUCAUACUGUAUUUUCCAGGCCAAUAAAUGGUCGUUGAACCUAGCACUCUAGAAGGCGUGUGGGCUACAACUCUACUCUCGAGGGAGCUUCUAGUCUUAGUUGUCACCCAACGAUGCAACGCACAAUCCAAUUUUAAGUAAUUAAAUUGGGUAAUUCCAGAAUUGGU